This 458-nucleotide ribosomal RNA is filed under the name uncultured Leptolinea sp. RNAcentral describes it as "bacterial SSU rRNA". It matches the Rfam family "Bacterial small subunit ribosomal RNA", at positions 915 to 1382 of the family's 1533-position model. Lineage: Bacteria; Bacillati; Chloroflexota; Anaerolineae; Anaerolineales; Anaerolineaceae. The record is from RNAcentral.
UUGAGGGCCCCGCACAAGCAGCGGAGCGUGUGGUUUAAUUCGAUGCUACACGAAGAACCUUUACCAGGGUUUGACAUACAAGUAGUAGGGAAAGGAAACUGGACCGACCCUUCGGGGAGCUUGUACAGGUGCUGCAUGGCUGUCGUCAGCUCGUGUCGUGAGAUGUUCGGUUAAGUCCGCUAACGAGCGCAACCCUCGUCGUGUGUUAUACGUGUCACACGAUACUGCCGGUAUCAAGCCGGAGGAAGGUGGGGAUGAUGUCAAGUCAGCAUGGCCUUUAUAUCCUGGGCUACACACACGCUACAAUGGCAGAUACAAUAGGUCGCGAAACCGCGAGGUGGAGCCAAUCCUCAAAGUCUGUCUCAGUUCAGAUUGUAGGCUGCAACUCGCCUGCAUGAAGUCGGAGUUGCUAGUAAACGCAGGUCAGCUAUACUGCGUUGAAUACGUUCCCGGGGUUU